Molecule: long non-coding RNA, 355 nt
Organism: Ornithodoros turicata
Lineage: Eukaryota; Metazoa; Arthropoda; Arachnida; Ixodida; Argasidae
Exons: 3
Source: RefSeq, a predicted model, not a curated record
UCCCGCAUGCUGCACACAUCAUCACCCGAUUGGGACCAGGACUCGCCAGCGUUGGCUGGCUGUUCGACAUCGGACCAGUGAUCGCCAGUCAUUUCGUCGUCGGUGGUGGCAGGUAGUUCUCCGGAACCCAAGUCCUUCUACGACUUCCAGAAGGUUGCAACAGCCGGUCCAACGUGUCCGAAGGAUCAUCGUCGUCAUCAUUGCAUCAGUGUACAACUCGGUUUCAUAAACUAAGCACUCAAGACAUCGAAGACAUGAGGAACACGAGCGGACUCUGGAUGGAGAAGAAAGAGCGAGUUGGAAAAGACGGGAAACGUCUUCUUUCGCCAGACAUCGUGUUCGGUCAAUCCGAGUA